GUUGAUCCUGCCGGACCCGACUGCUAUCAGAGUGGGACUAAGCCAUGCGAGUCAACGCCGUAAGGCGUGGCAUACGGCUCAGUAACACGUAGUCAACAUGCCCAAAGGACGUGGAUAACCUCGGGAAACUGAGGAUAAACCGCGAUAGGCCAAGGUUUCUGGAAUGAGCCAUGGCCGAAAUCUAUAUGGCCUUUGGAUUGGACUGCGGCCGAUCAGGCUGUUGGUGAGGUAAUGGCCCACCAAACCUGUAACCGGUACGGGCUUUGAGAGAAGGAGCCCGGAGAUGGGCACUGAGACAAGGGCCCAGGCCCUAUGGGGCGCAGCAGGCGCGAAACCUCUGCAAUAGGCGAAAGCUUGACAGGGUUACUCUGAGUGAUGCCCGCUAAGGGUAUCUUUUGGCACCUCUAAAAAUGGUGCAGAAUAAGGGGUGGGCAAGUCUGGUGUCAGCCGCCGCGGUAAUACCAGCACCCCGAGUUGUCGGGACGAUUAUUGGGCCUAAAGCAUCCGUAGCCUGUUCUGCAAGUCCUCCGUUAAAUCCACCUGCUCAACGGAUGGGCUGCGGAGGAUACCGCAGAGCUAGGAGGCGGGAGAGGCAAACGGUACUCAGUAAGUAGGGGUUAAA
RNAcentral lists this ribosomal RNA (622 nucleotides) under uncultured archaeon. Its description in RNAcentral is "bacterial SSU rRNA". It matches the Rfam family "Archaeal small subunit ribosomal RNA", at positions 7 to 637 of the family's 1478-position model. The record is from RNAcentral.